This 465-nucleotide ribosomal RNA is filed under the name Vreelandella stevensii. Its description in RNAcentral is "partial 16S ribosomal RNA". It matches the Rfam family "Bacterial small subunit ribosomal RNA", at positions 338 to 795 of the family's 1533-position model. The record is from RNAcentral. Lineage: Bacteria; Pseudomonadati; Pseudomonadota; Gammaproteobacteria; Oceanospirillales; Halomonadaceae.
CCUACGGGAGGCUGCAGUGGGGAAUAUUGGACAAUGGGCGAAAGCCUGAUCCAGCCAUGCCGCGUGUGUGAAGAAGGCCUUCGGGUUGUAAAGCACUUUCAGUGGGGAAGAAAGCCUUGGGGCUAAUACCCUCGAGGAAGGACAUCACCCACAGAAGAAGCACCGGCUAACUCCGUGCCAGCAGCCGCGGUAAUACGGAGGGUGCGAGCGUUAAUCGGAAUUACUGGGCGUAAAGCGCGCGUAGGCGGUCUGAUAAGCCGGUUGUGAAAGCCCCGGGCUCAACCUGGGAACGGCAUCCGGAACUGUCAGGCUAGAGUGCAGGAGAGGAAGGUAGAAUUCCCGGUGUAGCGGUGAAAUGCGUAGAGAUCGGGAGGAAUACCAGUGGCGAGGGCGGCCUUCUGGACUGACACUGACGCUGAGGUGCGAAAGCGUGGGUAGCAAACAGGAUUAGAUACCCUAGUAGUC